AGGACGAACGCUGGCGGCGUGCUUAACACAUGCAAGUCGAGCGGAAAGGCCCUUCGGGGUACUCGAGCGGCGAACGGGUGAGUAACACGUGAGUAAUCUGCCCCUAGCUCUGGGAUAGCUCCGGGAAACCGGGAUUAAUACCAGAUACGACCACUUUAGACAUCUUCUGUGGUGGAAAGAACUUCGGCUAGGGAUGAACUCGCGGCCUAUCAGCUUGUUGGUGAGGUAACGGCUCACCAAAGGCGACGACGGGUAGCCGGCCUGAGAGGGCGACCGGCCACACUGGGACUGAGACACGGCCCAGACUCCUACGGGAGGCAGCAGUGGGGAAUAUUGCGCAAAUGGCGAAAGCCUGACGCAGCGACGCCGCGUGGGGGAUGAAGGCCUUCGGUUGUAACCCUUUCAGCAGGACGAAGCGAAAGUGACGGUACCUGCAGAACGAAGCGCCGGCAACUACGCGCCAGCAGCCGC
This 471-nucleotide ribosomal RNA is filed under the name uncultured bacterium. Its description in RNAcentral is "SSU rRNA". It matches the Rfam family "Bacterial small subunit ribosomal RNA", at positions 26 to 518 of the family's 1533-position model. The record is from RNAcentral.